GAUGAACGCUAGCGGCAGGCCUAAUACAUGCAAGACGAACGGUGAGUUGAGUAGCAAUACUUAGCCAAGAGUGUCGUACGGGUGCGUAACACGUAUGCAACCUACCCUAUACAGGAGGAUAGCCUAGGGAAACCUGGAUUAACCCUUCAUAGUAUUAUUGGAUGGCAUCAUUUGAUAAUUAAAACUGAGGUGGUAUAGGAUGGGCAUGCGUCUGAUUAGUUAGUUAGCGGGGUAAUGGCCCACCAAGACGAUGAUCAGUAGGGGUUCUGAGAGGAAGAUCCCCCACACUGGCACUGAGAUACGGGCCAGACUCCUACGGGAGGCAGCAGUAGGGAAUAUUGGUCAAUGGAUGCAAGUCUGAACCAGC
RNAcentral lists this ribosomal RNA (367 nucleotides) under uncultured bacterium. RNAcentral describes it as "bacterial SSU rRNA". It matches the Rfam family "Bacterial small subunit ribosomal RNA", at positions 28 to 392 of the family's 1533-position model. The record is from RNAcentral.